GCUCCUACGGGGCGCAGCAGUGGGGAAUAUUGCACAAUGGGGGAAACCCUGAUGCAGCGACGCCGCGUGAAGGAAGAAGUAUUUCGGUAUGUAAACUUCUAUCAGCAGGGAAGAAAAUGACGGUACCUGACUAAGAAGCCCCGGCUAACUACGUGCCAGCAGCCGCGGUAAUACGUAGGGGGCAAGCGUUAUCCGGAUUUACUGGGUGUAAAGGGAGCGUAGACGGUCCUGCAAGCCAGAUGUGAAAGCUCGGGGCUCAACCCCGGGACUGCAUUUGGAACUGUAAGGCUA
RNAcentral lists this ribosomal RNA (291 nucleotides) under uncultured bacterium. Its description in RNAcentral is "partial 16S ribosomal RNA". It matches the Rfam family "Bacterial small subunit ribosomal RNA", at positions 335 to 643 of the family's 1533-position model. The record is from RNAcentral.